CGAUUUUUCAACCUGUGUAUAAAAGUUCCGAACGUGUCGCGUUCGACUAUUCUUCUCUCGUCUGCUCUUCUGCAACGCCACGGACAGCUCUCAAUAUGUGGACGAAGAUUUUCGCUCUCCUCGCUCUACUUGGAUAUUUUUCAGUUGCAGUUGGAUACGAACGACGGGCCUAGCCGGCAGACUGCUCGAAAUUCGAGGAAUGUGAUCCAACUACCAACAAAUGCAAGCUGAGACAAUGCUAUCCCGGGACCGAAUACGAUCCAGCCUAUGAAACGUGCACGGUUCUGAUUACGCUUGAAGAAGAACGAUCUGACUGUAAAAGAUUGCCUAAAGAUGCAAGUUGGUAAUAGUACCAUCGAUGUUGAACAUUAACAAUAAAUAAACAUACGCAUUUA
Long non-coding RNA from Phymastichus coffea, 395 nucleotides. RefSeq lists it as uncharacterized. The record is from RefSeq and is a predicted model, not a curated record. The transcript has 2 exons. NCBI's taxonomy places the organism in Eukaryota, Metazoa, Arthropoda, Insecta, Hymenoptera, Eulophidae.